CAGCCGCCACGGGAAUACGGAGGGUGCAAGCGUUAAUCGGAAUUACUGGGCGUAAAGCGCACGCAGGCGGUCUGUCAAGUCAGAUGUGAAAUCCCCGGGCUUAACCUGGGAACUGCAUUUGAAACUGGCAGGCUAGAGUCUCGUAGAGGGGGGUAGAAUUCCAGGUGUAGCGGUGAAAUGCGUAGAGAUCUGGAGGAAUACCGGUGGCGAAGGCGGCCCCCUGGACAAAGACUGACGCUCAGGUGCGAAAGCGUGGGGAGCAAACAGGAUUAGAUACCCCUGUAGUCCCUGUCUCUUAUAC
This 301-nucleotide ribosomal RNA is filed under the name uncultured bacterium. RNAcentral's name for it is "partial 16S ribosomal RNA". It matches the Rfam family "Bacterial small subunit ribosomal RNA", at positions 509 to 807 of the family's 1533-position model. The record is from RNAcentral.